CCUACGGGCGGCUGCAGUGGGGGAUAUUGCACAAUGGGGGGAACCCUGAUGCAGCGACGCCGCGUGGGUGAAGAAGCGCCUCGGCGCGUAAAGCCCUGUCAGCCGGGAAGAAAAUGACGCUACCUGAAGAAGAAGCCCCGGCUAACUACGUGCCAGCAGCCGCGGUAAUACGUAGGGGGCAAGCGUUAUCCGGAUUUACUGGGUGUAAAGGGGGCGCAGACGGCGGUGAAAGCGAGGAGGUAAAGCCCGGGGCCCAACCCCCGGACUGCUCUUGGAACUGCAUGGCUGGAGUGCAGGAGGGGCAUGCGGAAUUCCUGGUGUAACGGUGAAAUGCGUAGAUAUCAGGAGGAACACCGGUGGCGAAGGCGGCAUGCUGGCCCGCAACUGACGUUGAGGCCCGAAAGCGUGGGGAGCGAACAGGAUUAGAUACCCCAGUAGUC
This 440-nucleotide ribosomal RNA is filed under the name uncultured bacterium. RNAcentral describes it as "partial 16S ribosomal RNA". It matches the Rfam family "Bacterial small subunit ribosomal RNA", at positions 338 to 795 of the family's 1533-position model. The record is from RNAcentral.